ACGAACGCUGGCGGCGUGCCUAAUACAUGCAAGUCGAACGGUCUUUCUAUGGAAGCUUGCUUCCACUGAGAAGAUAGUGGCGAACGGGUGAGUAACACGUGGGUAACCUGCCCAUAAGAGGGGGGAGUAACAUCCGGAAACGGGUGCUAAUACCGCAUAGUUUUCUUGAUCGCAUGAUCGGGAAAGGAAAGACGGCCUUUGUGCUGUCGCUUAUGGAUGGACCCGCGGCGUAUUAGUUAGUUGGUGAGGUAACGGCUCACCAAGACGAUGAUACGUAGCCGACCUGAGAGGGUGAUCGGCCACAUUGGGACUGAGACACGGCCCAAACUCCUACGGGAGGCAGCAGUAGGGAAUCUUCCGCAAUGGACGAAAGUCUGACGGAGCAACGCCGCGUGAGUGAAGAAAGGUUUUCGGAUCGUAAAACUCUGUUGUCAGAGAAGAACAAGUUGGAGAGUAACUGCUCCAGCCUUGACGGUAUCUGACCAGAAAGCCACGGCUAACUACGUGCCAGCAGCGGC
Molecule: ribosomal RNA, 518 nt
Filed under: uncultured bacterium
Lineage: Bacteria
Description: bacterial SSU rRNA
Rfam family: Bacterial small subunit ribosomal RNA
Source: RNAcentral